Molecule: ribosomal RNA, 497 nt
Filed under: uncultured bacterium
Lineage: Bacteria
Description: partial 16S ribosomal RNA
Rfam family: Bacterial small subunit ribosomal RNA
Source: RNAcentral
GAUGAACGCUGGCGGCGUGCCUAAUACAUGCAAGUCGAGCGAACGGACGAGAAGCUUGCUUCUCUGAUGUUAGCGGCGGACGGGUGAGUAACACGUGGAUAACCUACCUAUAAGACUGGGAUAACUUCGGGAAACCGGAGCUAAUACCGGAUGAUAUUUUGAACCGCAUGGUUCAAUAGUGAAAGACGGUUUUGCUGUCACUUAUAGAUGGAUCCGCGCUGCAUUAGCUAGUUGGUAAGGUAACGGCUUACCAAGGCAACGAUGCAUAGCCGACCUGAGAGGGUGAUCGGCCACACUGGAACUGAGACACGGUCCAGACUCCUACGGGAGGCAGCAGUAGGGAAUCUUCCGCAAUGGGCGAAAGCCUGACGGAGCAACGCCGCGUGAGUGAUGAAGGUCUUCGGAUCGUAAAACUCUGUUAUUAGGGAAGAACAAAUGUGUAAGUAACUAUGCACAUCUUGACGGUACCUAAUCAGAAAGCCACGGCUAACUACGUG